UACGUAGGUGGCAAGCGUUGUUCGGAAUUAUUGGGCGUAAAGGGCGCGUAGGCGGUUUGUUAAGUCAGCUGUGAAAGCCCGGGGCUCAACCCCGGAGAGUCGGCUGAUACUGGCAAACUUGAGUACGGAAGAGGGUCGCAGAAUUCCCGGUGUAGAGGUGAAAUGCGUAGAGAUCGGGAAGAACAUCGGUGGCGAAAGCGCUCUACUGGACCGCAACUGACACUCAGGGACGAAAGCUAGGGGAGCGAAUGGG
This 253-nucleotide ribosomal RNA is filed under the name uncultured bacterium. RNAcentral describes it as "partial 16S ribosomal RNA". It matches the Rfam family "Bacterial small subunit ribosomal RNA", at positions 524 to 776 of the family's 1533-position model. The record is from RNAcentral.